This 510-nucleotide ribosomal RNA is filed under the name uncultured bacterium. RNAcentral describes it as "bacterial SSU rRNA". It matches the Rfam family "Bacterial small subunit ribosomal RNA", at positions 384 to 896 of the family's 1533-position model. The record is from RNAcentral.
UGACGCAGCGACGCCGCGUGUGGGAUGACGGUCUUCGGAUUGUAAACCACUGUCGGAGGGACGAAUACGCCGCAAGGCGGGUGACGGUACCUCCAAAGGAAGCACCGGCUAACUCCGUGCCAGCAGCCGCGGUAAUACGGAGGGUGCGAGCGUUGUCCGGAAUCACUGGGCGUAAAGGGCGCGUAGGCGGCCUGAUAAGUAGGGGGUGAAAUCCUGCGGCUUAACCGCAGGGCUGCCUUCUAAACUGUCGGGCUUGAGCACAGUAAGAGGCAGGUGGAAUUCCCGGUGUAGCGGUGGAAUGCGUAGAGAUCGGGAAGAACAUCAGUGGCGAAGGCGGCCUGCUGGGCUGUUGCUGACGCUGAGGCGCGACAGCGUGGGGAGCAAACAGGAUUAGAUACCCUGGUAGUCCACGCCGUAAACGAUGGGCACUAGGCGUCGGGGGGAGCGACCCUCCCGGUGCCGUCGCUAACGCAGUAAGUGCCCCGCCUGGGGAGUACGGCCGCAAGGCUG